This 480-nucleotide ribosomal RNA is filed under the name uncultured bacterium. Its description in RNAcentral is "partial 16S ribosomal RNA". It matches the Rfam family "Bacterial small subunit ribosomal RNA", at positions 28 to 507 of the family's 1533-position model. The record is from RNAcentral.
GAUGAACGCUGGCGGCGUGCUUAACACAUGCAAGUCGAACGAAGCACUUUAUUUGAUUUCCUUCGGGACUGAUUAUUUUGUGACUGAGUGGCGGACGGGUGAGUAACGCGUGGGUAACCUGCCUUGUACAGGGGGAUAACAGUUGGAAACGGCUGCUAAUACCGCAUAAGCGCACGGCAUCGCAUGAUGCAGUGGGAAAAACUCCGGUGGUAUAAGAUGGACCCGCGUUGGAUUAGCUAGUUGGUGAGGUAACGGCCCACCAAGGCGACGAUCCAUAGCCGACCUGAGAGGGUGACCGGCCACAUUGGGACUGAGACACGGCCCAAACUCCUACGGGAGGCAGCAGUGGGGAAUAUUGCACAAUGGGCGAAAGCCUGAUGCAGCGACGCCGCGUGAGCGAAGAAGUAUUUCGGUAUGUAAAGCUCUAUCAGCAGGGAAGAUAAUGACGGUACCUGACUAAGAAGCACCGGCUAAUACGUG